AUGGAAACUCUGACAAGGACCCAGGAGUCUGUCAGUCUAGCCCAAGCAAUCGCCAGCUCAUUAAGCAUGAACCGCUUGCCGGUCCCUGAACCAACCACGUUCAGUGGUGACCCUUUACGGUUUACUGAUUGGAAGAUGUCAUUCAUAGCUCUUAUUGACAGAAAAACCCUCCCACCAAGUGAGAAGAUUUUUUAUCUCAAAAAUUAUCUUGCUGGAGAGGCACGCAAAGCUGUAGAAGGUUUCUUUUAUCGAGAUUCAGAGAACGCAUACAAUGGAGCAUGGGAAGUCUUACAGUACAGAUAUGGGAACCCGUUCAUCAUACAAAAGGCUUUCCAAGAUAAGCUCUUGAGAUGGCCAAAGAUCAACACAAACGACCCACUAGCACUACAAGAGUUCACUGACUUCCUCCAAGGCUGCACUGAGGCGAUCCCACACGUCAAGGGACUAGCUAUCCUUAACGAUUGUGAGGAAAACCACAAGUUGUUCAAAAAACUACCAGAAUGGAUCGUACGCAAGUGGAGUCGAAUUGUUGUAGAGGAACUUGACACAUCUGGAAGCUAUCCAGAUCUUGCAUGCUUCACAAAGUUCCUGAGCAAAGAGGCACGGAUAGCUUGUAACCCUAUUGCUUCUCCAUUGUUGAUAAAUUUCAAGGCCACAGAUGAAAGAUCACCAAAGAGAGCCAAAGUUCUCAACACAAAUACACAAACAAAGAGUUUCGCUCAGGAGAAACAAGAAACAAACGGCAGUAAACCAAAAUCACCUUGCUCCGGCUGUAAAAGUGAAGCUCAUAACAUCACCAAGUGUCCCACCUUCGCAGCAAAGAGUGGUGAAGACAAAAAGGCAUUCAUCCAUGAAAAUCGACUCUGCUUUGGGUGCCUGAGAAAGGGUCACAUAACCAAAGAUUGUAAGAGGCGACACACAUGCAACAUAAGCAGCCGUCGUCACCGAACCUGCUUGCACGAAGACAGAAAACAAAGACCUGUGGAAGCAACAACGAAUAGCUCCACUUCCACAGGAAAACAUGCAAGCUUGGAAACACACAAGGUCGUAUCCCAUACAUCAACACAACAUGCUUCUGCUACCUCAAGUAUCGUCCCAGUCCUUGUGUCUUCAAUACAAGAGCCACACAGAGAAGUACUUACAUAUGCAAUACUGGACACACAGAGUGACUCAACGUUGGUCUUAGAAGAUGUACUCGACAAACUGAAUGUUGAUGCCCAACCAGUAAAACUGAAACAUAGUGUGACGGCUAUUGACACAAUCAUAUCUAGCAAGAACGUCCAUGGUCUACAAGUUCGAGGACUGCACUCUAAGAACCACAUCCAAGUACAGCAGGCCUACAGCCGUGACUUUAUCCCAGUGGACAAGUCUUACCUCCCAACGAAGGAAACAGCAUUACUGUGGCCUCAUCUCAGACACUUGGUAGAUAACCUACCACCCCUUCAAGACUGUGAUGUAGGGCUCCUGGUUGGAUAUGACUGUCCAUCAGCACUAGCUCCUCUUGAGGUUAUCAUUGGUGACAAAAAUCAACCGUUUGCACAGAGACCAGAACUAGGAUGGGGUAUCAUAGGCUCAUCAAACCCCCACCUAGACAGACAAGGAAGUCAGAGCUUUGUGCAUCGGCUCACAGUAAAAGAAUUGCCAAUUCAAUCGGGGACAGAUGUUCUAAAAGCCCUAGAAUCAGACUUCACCGAGACCCAACCUACCAAACAACAAGAGGCUAGCCACAGUUCGCCUGCAGUGUCUUAA
RNAcentral lists this long non-coding RNA (1749 nucleotides) under Dicentrarchus labrax (European seabass). Its description in RNAcentral is "lncRNA (ENSDLAG00005032487.1)". The record is from RNAcentral. Lineage: Eukaryota; Metazoa; Chordata; Actinopteri; Moronidae.